RNAcentral lists this ribosomal RNA (440 nucleotides) under uncultured bacterium. RNAcentral describes it as "partial 16S ribosomal RNA". It matches the Rfam family "Bacterial small subunit ribosomal RNA", at positions 339 to 795 of the family's 1533-position model. The record is from RNAcentral.
CUACGGACUGCACCAGUGAGGAAUAUUGCACAAUGGAGGAAACUCUGAUGCAGCAACGCCGCGUGGAGGAUGACGCAUUUCGGUGUGUAAACUCCUUUUAUAUGUCAAGAAAAUGACGGUAGCAUAUGAAUAAGCUCCGAGCUAACUCCGUGCCAGCAGCCGCGGUAAUACGGAGGGAGCAAGCGUUACUCGGAAUCACUGGGCGUAAAGGACGCGUAGGCGGGAUAGAAAGUCAGGUGUGAAAUCCUAUGGCUCAACCAUAGAACUGCACUUGAAACUUCUAACCUAGAGUAUGGGAGGGGAAGAUGGAAUUAGUGGUGUAGGGGUAAAAUCCGUAGAUAUCACUAGGAAUACCAAAAGCGAAGGCGAUCUUCUGGAACAAUACUGACGCUAAGGCGUGAAAGCGUGGGGAGCAAACAGGAUUAGAUACCCUCGUAGUC